RNAcentral lists this unclassified non-coding RNA (378 nucleotides) under uncultured Parachlamydiaceae bacterium. RNAcentral's name for it is "contains 16S-23S intergenic spacer region". The record is from RNAcentral. Lineage: Bacteria; Pseudomonadati; Chlamydiota; Chlamydiia; Parachlamydiales; Parachlamydiaceae.
UCCCGGUUAACCCGGGCAGUCUCAUUAGAGUUCCCACCUUUACGUGUUGGCAACUAAUGAUAAGGGUUGCGCUCGUUGCGGGACUUAACCCAACACCUCACGGCACGAGCUGACGACAGCCAUGCAGCACCUGUGCAGAAGCCCCGAAGGGAAAUACCAUUUCUGGUAUCGUCCUCUGCAUGUCAAGCCUGGGUAAGGUUCUUCGCGUUGCAUCGAAUUAAACCACAUGCUCCACUGCUUGUGCGGGUCCCCGUCAAUUCUUUUGAGUUUCACCCUUGCGAGUGUACUCCCCAGGCGGUAUACUUAUCGCGUUAGCUACGGCACAGUCGGGGUUGAGUCCAACUACACCAAGUAUACAUGGUUUAGGGCAAGGACUAC